This 74-nucleotide transfer RNA is filed under the name Spirochaetota bacterium. RNAcentral describes it as "Spirochaetes bacterium (groundwater metagenome) tRNA-Pro". It matches the Rfam family "tRNA". Rfam says of the family: Transfer RNA (tRNA) molecules are approximately 80 nucleotides in length. Their secondary structure includes four short double-helical elements and three loops (D, anti-codon, and T loops). The record is from RNAcentral. Lineage: Bacteria; Pseudomonadati; Spirochaetota.
CGGGACGUAGCGCAAUUGGCUAGCGUACCUGGUUUGGGACCAGGGGGUUGCCGGUUCGACCCCGGCCGUCCCGA